CCUACGGGCGGCAGCAGUGGGGAAUAUUGGACAAUGGGGGGAACCCUGAUCCAGCCAUGCCGCGUGUGUGAAGAAGGCCCUCGGGUUGUAAAGCACUUUCAGUGAGGAAGAACGCCUGGUGGUUAAUACCCAUCAGGAAAGACAUCACUCACAGAAGAAGCACCGGCUAACUCCGUGCCAGCAGCCGCGGUAAUACGGAGGGUGCGAGCGUUAAUCGGAAUUACUGGGCGUAAAGCGCGCGUAGGUGGCUUGAUAAGCCGGUUGUGAAAGCCCCGGGCUCAACCUGGGAACGGCAUCCGGAACUGUCAAGCUAGAGUGCAGGAGAGGAAGGUAGAAUUCCCGGUGUAGCGGUGAAAUGCGUAGAGAUCGGGAGGAAUACCAGUUGCGAAGGCGGCCUUCUGGACUGACACUGACACUGAGGUGCGAAAGCGUGGGUAGCAAACAGGAUUAGAUACCCCAGUAGUC
This 465-nucleotide ribosomal RNA is filed under the name Vreelandella stevensii. RNAcentral's name for it is "partial 16S ribosomal RNA". It matches the Rfam family "Bacterial small subunit ribosomal RNA", at positions 338 to 795 of the family's 1533-position model. Lineage: Bacteria; Pseudomonadati; Pseudomonadota; Gammaproteobacteria; Oceanospirillales; Halomonadaceae. The record is from RNAcentral.